RNAcentral lists this ribosomal RNA (497 nucleotides) under uncultured bacterium. RNAcentral describes it as "partial 16S ribosomal RNA". It matches the Rfam family "Bacterial small subunit ribosomal RNA", at positions 28 to 507 of the family's 1533-position model. The record is from RNAcentral.
GAUGAACGCUGGCGGCGUGCCUAAUACAUGCAAGUCGAGCGAACGGACGAGAAGCUUGCUUCUCUGAUGUUAGCGGCGGACGGGUGAGUAACACGUGGAUAACCUACCUAUAAGACUGGGAUAACUUCGGGAAACCGGAGCUAAUACCGGAUAAUAUUUUAAACCGCAUGGUUCAAAAGUGAAAGACGGUCUUGCUGUCACUUAUAGAUGAAUCCGCGCUGCAUUAGCUAGUUGGUAAGGUAACGGCUUACCAAGGCAACGAUGCAUAGCCGACCUGAGAGGGUGAUCGGCCACACUGGAACUGAGACACGGUCCAGACUCCUACGGGAGGCAGCAGUAGGGAAUCUUCCGCAAUGGGCGAAAGCCUGACGGAGCAACGCCGCGUGAGUGAUGAAGGUCUUCGGAUCGUAAAACUCUGUUAUUAGGGAAGAACAUAUGUGUAAGUAACUGUGCACAUCUUGACGGUACCUAAUCAGAAAGCCACGGCUAACUACGUG